ACCUCUACCGUUCCACUUUGUGUGUGUAUAUAUAUGCAAGUAGUUAUUCAUCGAAGUAUAUCUGAUAUACGCAUUUGUUUCAAAGUUCAAACAAAGACCAAAAAAAUGGAGAAGAAAUUCUUUGGGCUUUUGCUUUUGCUACUCUUCGUAUUUGCUUCUGAGAUGAAUAUUGUGACUAAGGUUGAUGGUGCAAUAUGCAAGAAACCAAGUAAGUUCUUCAAAGGUGCUUGCGGUAGAGAUGCCGAUUGUGAGAAGGCUUGUGAUCAAGAGAAUUGGCCUGGCGGAGUUUGUGUACCCUUUCUCAGAUGUGAAUGUCAGAGGUCUUGCUAAGCACUGCAAGCCACGGACGAUAAAAAGAAGUACUUGUAAUGAAGCUAUGGGUCAAUAUUUUUCAAUCUUAUAAUAUUAAAUAAAUUGUUGUAACUAUUUUAAGUGUGUAAUAAAUCUACGUGGGUUUAAACUCCACAAUUGCUUUUGAAAUAAUGAUUUACAUAUAAGUUUCAGUACUUUAUUUUCUAAAGCUCCUUUAUUGAGCAUUUAUAUAGUUAUACUCUUUUCGUUCUA
Long non-coding RNA from Beta vulgaris subsp. vulgaris (sugar beet), 564 nucleotides. RefSeq lists it as uncharacterized. The record is from RefSeq and is a predicted model, not a curated record. The transcript is spliced from 3 exons. Lineage: Eukaryota; Viridiplantae; Streptophyta; Magnoliopsida; Caryophyllales; Amaranthaceae.